Molecule: ribosomal RNA, 375 nt
Filed under: uncultured bacterium
Lineage: Bacteria
Description: bacterial SSU rRNA
Rfam family: Bacterial small subunit ribosomal RNA
Source: RNAcentral
GACAAACGCUGGCGGCGUGCCUAAAACAUGCAAGUCGGACGGACCCUUCGGGGUUAGUGGCGGACGGCUGAGUAACGCGUGGGUAACCUACCCGUGAGUGGGGAAUAACCCUCCGAAAGGAGGGCUAAUACCGCAUACGACCACCGAUCUGAGGGUUGGUGGGGAAAGCCGCAAGGCGCUCGUGGAGGGCCCGCGUCCGAUUAGCUAGUUGGUGGGUAAUGGCUCACCAAGGCAACGAUCAGUAUCCGGCCUGAGAGGGCGGACGGACACACUGGGACUGAGACACGGCCCAGACUCCUACGGGAGGCAGCAGUGGGGAAUUGUUCGCAAUGGGCGCAAGCCUGACGACGCAACGCCGCGUGGAGGAUGAAGACC